RNAcentral lists this ribosomal RNA (776 nucleotides) under uncultured Neocallimastigales. RNAcentral's name for it is "partial large subunit ribosomal RNA". It matches the Rfam family "Eukaryotic large subunit ribosomal RNA", at positions 22 to 615 of the family's 3401-position model. The record is from RNAcentral. Lineage: Eukaryota; Fungi; Neocallimastigomycota; Neocallimastigomycetes; Neocallimastigales.
AUAUCAGUCAUGCAUAGCAUAUCAAUAAGCGGAGGAAAAGAAACUAACAAGGAUUCCCUUAGUAACGGCGAGUGAAGCGGGAAGAGCUCAAAUUUGAAAUCUUCAAGGUUUUACCUUGACGAAUUGUAGUUUAAAGAAGUGUUUUCUGUUGAAGUUUUGGUAAAAGUUCUUUGGAAUAGGACAUCAUAGAGGGUGAGAAUCCCGUAUUUGACCAUUACUUUCAGCUUUGUGAUACACUUUCAAAGAGUCGGAUUGUUUGGGAAUGCAGUCCAAAAUGGGUGGUAAAUUUCAUCUAAAGCUAAAUAUUGGCGAGAGACCGAUAGCGAACAAGUACCGUGAGGGAAAGAUGAAAAGAACUUUGAAAAGAGAGUUCAAACAGUACGUGAAAUUGUCAAAAGGGAAGCGUUUGACACCAGUGUUGUUUUCUCGAAAAUCAAUUAAAAAGAGUUGGAUUUUGUGUUGUAUUGACUUUAUCAGGCCUUCCUUCACUCUUUUCCAGCUUUUUUUAAUGCACUUUUCGUUUAACAAGUCAACAUCAGUUUCUUUUGUUGUAAAAAGGUCAUUGGAAGGUGGCUUUCUCUUCGGAGAAAGUGUUUAUAGCCUUUGACUCAUGCAAUCGGAGAGACUGAGGUCUGCAGCGUAGAUCCUUCGGGGUUAGAUACAUUUGUGCUAAGUUAUAGCUUUUCAUAGACAACUUGUUGACUAUGUUUAGUCUUGUAGCUUACUCGCUUAUGCUAUUUUACCUACGCUUAGGAUGUUGAACUCUAUCACACACA